RNAcentral lists this ribosomal RNA (253 nucleotides) under uncultured bacterium. RNAcentral's name for it is "partial 16S ribosomal RNA". It matches the Rfam family "Bacterial small subunit ribosomal RNA", at positions 524 to 776 of the family's 1533-position model. The record is from RNAcentral.
UACGAAGGGGGCUAGCGUUGCUCGGAAUUAUUGGGCGUAAAGGGCGCGUAGGCGGCCAUUCAAGUGACGGGUGAAAGCCCUCGGCUUAACCGAGGAACUGCCUGUCAGACUGGAUGGCUUGAGGCCGGGAGAGGUGAGUGGAAUUCCCAGUGUAGCGGUGAAAUGCGUAGAUAUUGGGAGGAACACCAGUGGCGAAGGCGGCUCACUGGACCGGAACUGACGCUGAGGCGCGAAAGCGUGGGGAGCAAACAGG